Paramuricea clavata is the source of this 1519-nucleotide non-coding RNA. The record is from the annotation of a GenBank genome assembly. NCBI's taxonomy places the organism in Eukaryota, Metazoa, Cnidaria, Anthozoa, Malacalcyonacea, Plexauridae.
CGAAGCUUUCGAUAAGUUAUAGUACUACUAGUUACUACGUUUUCAAUUGCCUUCGUAUAGUUAUUCAUAUACGUACAUGUUUGGAAACAUUUUAAAUUUAAAAAUUUUGAAGGAUUUUUAUUUAUUUUUUAGACGAGAGGUUCUUUUAUUCUUAAUAAUCAUUCGCUCAACUGAUGGUAAUCUGGAGUAUGUACUUGUGAUUCUAAUCCCAAGUGGUAAUGAUGGUAAAGUAUUGUUUAUUUUAUAGACCUGUAUAAAUUCUAUCGAUUUAAAAGUUUUGCUAUCUCAAUCUUCCCCACACAUAUUUUGACUUGAUUUCCAAUCUAAAGAGACUUGCGCCCGUUUUUGGACAGGUGACAAAAAUUCAUUCUAACCUCGAAAAUGUAAUUUAUUAACUGAAUGGAUGGCAAUUGUGUGUGCCGUUAUUGCUUUAUUAUGGAUGAUCGCGUAUAAAAUAAUCUCGUAAAGACAUUUUAAUAUGGUAUAUUGAGUGCUGUAUAAACACAACAAAUAUCAUAUACAAUGUCAUCAAGGUUCUGAGUACAUAUAUAGAACUGAUAUGGCAACUCAAAUGAUUUUAAAUUAACCACUAAUCUAUGUGUGACAGCUAAUGCGUCUGAGUGCGAGGAUUUUAAAGUUCAUCACCGCCCUUACAACACGAUCGUAUUAUGAGGGAGUCAGUUACAACUUGGAAAUCAAAUCAAAUAGAUAUAGAAGAGCUCUGAAGAAUGUGUUCAACCUUCCUUUACGUUUUCAGACCUUGAAUUGAUAAUGGAAUUCAGAUGGCUUUUUCCUUUUCCUCGAAUUGCAAAAUAUGUAAAUAAUGUCAUUCAAAAGAUUUCUUUCUUAUUUCCUACUGACCAGUUUGGUGUUAAUCUUAAGUGUUCCACAUUGUACCUUCCUCACUGACUUCGCAUAUGGUAAACCUUCCUCGCGGGUGCAUGGUAUCUGCAGCUUUUUUGCAACUCUGUCAGCGCUUAAUAUCAAUAAAGAGUACUUCAGAUGUAAGAGUACUUCAAAUAACAUGAUUGUGGCACGAUUCGCUUAUCUGCAACCGCAAUUCACAUUCUAAUCUAUACAUGUCCUAUCUAGUGAUAGGAAAGUGCCCAAGAACGAGGUUGUGACGAUGACGCAACAAAUACAUGAAUUUUAGCAUACUUUUCAGUAGUAUAAAAUUGUAUAAUAAGUUGGAAUUAAUCAAGAGAAAAAGUUGGCAACAACUGAAUUACCGUAAUAUUCUUUUUCUAUCUUAUCCCUUAGAGAGAGAAAUUGUGGAAUUUAUUUCCGAAGCAUUGUGAAGGACAUUGGGACAUUUAGCUACUAGUGGGACAUUGGGACAUUUACUAAUUGAUACUUUGAAAUUACAAAAUAAUUAAAUUAAAUAAUUUGAAAAACUCGUCAAAAUAUGUAAAUAGACGGUCUAGUCUUAGUAAUGUUAUUGUAAGUAGUUUGAUCUCUAUCACGUGAUGUGAAUUGUAUCAUUGUGUCGUUCAUACCGAAAUCACCUGUGCCGAAGUUA